This 84-nucleotide microRNA precursor is filed under the name Scleropages formosus (Asian bonytongue). RNAcentral's name for it is "let-7 microRNA precursor family". It matches the Rfam family "let-7 microRNA precursor family". Rfam says of the family: This family represents the microRNAs (miRNA) let-7 and mir-98. let-7 was identified from a study of developmental timing in C. elegans, and was later shown to be part of a much larger class of non-coding RNAs termed miRNAs. The extents of the hairpin precursors are not generally known and are estimated based on hairpin prediction. Lineage: Eukaryota; Metazoa; Chordata; Actinopteri; Osteoglossiformes; Osteoglossidae. The record is from Rfam by way of RNAcentral.
UGGGGCUGAGGUAGUAGAUUGAAUAGUUGUGUGGGGUGCAUGCCCUUCCUCUGAGAUAACUAUGCAAUCUACUGUCUUUCCUAA